Molecule: long non-coding RNA, 1493 nt
Organism: Homo sapiens (human)
Lineage: Eukaryota; Metazoa; Chordata; Mammalia; Primates; Hominidae
Gene: TXNDC11-AS1
Product: TXNDC11 antisense RNA 1
Exons: 1
Source: RefSeq, marked validated
GCAGCCCAGUCUUGGCCCCACCGGUCACGACCCCGCUCACGGAGUCUGCGCAGGCGCCGUCGCGGGGCGUGGAGAAGCUGCUCCCUUGGGAUAAGGCCCGCGGGGAAUACUUGGAACCUUGACACCGCUGUAGUCUGCUCUCGCCGCGCUGGGUUUUAGGAGCCGUAACGACAAUAAUCGUGUCCACCAUUCUCACUACAGGCCCCGAAGCACGUAGGUGCCGUUUUUUAUCCCAACUUAACUGAAGAAAAAAAAAACACGGCCGGGCGCGGUGGCUCAAGCCUGUAAUCCCAGCACGUUGGGAGGCCAAGGCGGGCAGAUUACAUGAGACCAGGCGUUCAAGACCAGCCUGGCCAACAUGGUGAAACCUCGUCUCUACUAAAAAUACAAAUAUAUUAGCCGGGCGUGGUGGCGGGCGCCUGUAAUCCUAGCUGCUUGGGAGGCUGAGGCAGAGAAUUGCUUGAACCCUGGAGGCGGAGGUUGCAGUGAGUGGAGAUGGCGCCACUGCACUCCCGUCUGGGGGAGAGAGAGAGAGAGACUCUUGUCUCAAAAAAAAAAAAAGGACUUGUCCUCCAAUGUCAAUAACAACAAACUAGACAAAUAAAACUUCGAGGGCAUUAAGGCAAUAUGGUGUUAUGCCACAAACAGAAGGCACAGCUAACGGCCAGUAGCUGAGACGCCACCUCUGCCACAGGUCAGCUAUGUGACCCACGUGCAAAUCUCAUCACUUCCUGUCUGGUUCUGCUUCUGUGGAUGUAGAAUGGGGCAAUCAAUGGCUGUCUUGCUCAAUUGGCCAGACAUUUAAUGUGUCAACCACCCAGGCCCAACAUGUUGUGAGUUCAUGUACACCGACCAUUUUGCUAUUUCUUUUCUAUAUGUCACUUUUUUUUUUUUUUUGGUUGUUUUUUGAUACAGGGUCUUGUGUCACCCAGGCUGGAGUGCAAUGGCGCAAUCAUAGCACACUGAAGCCUUGACAACCCCAGCUCAAGCGAUCCACCCCCGUCAGCCUCCCAAGUAGUAGGCAACACAGAUGUGUGCGACUACGCCCAGCUAAUUUUUUUUUUUUGUGGAGACAAGGUCUCUCCAUGUUGCCUAGGCUGGUCUUGAACUCCUGGGCUCAAGCGAUCUUCCCCCUUCGACCUCCCAAAGCGUUAGGAUUAUGUAAAAGCAUGAGUCACUGCGCCCACCUGUCACAUCUUUUUGUUUCUUCUAUACUGCCUUAUUUUGUAGAAAGUAGCUAUUUUCUCGUAUAACAUUAAUUCCUUUAUUUUUAACUUGUCCCUCAUCUCUGUUUUGUGUUAUUAUUACCCUUAUUAUCUAUGUUACAAACCCAACCAUACAGUGUUAAUCUUGUUUUAAAAAGCUGAGAAAAAAUAUAUAGUUACAGAGUUUUUUUAACCUUCUAAUUUGCCACUUAUACUUCUGUUGAUUCCUUUGUGUAGAUUAGAGUUACACAAUUUAUUGCUAAAGAAAAUAAAUAUGGUCAAAAGUCA